AACGCAUCUUGCGCUCCUUGGUAUUCCGAGGAGCAUGCCUGUUUGAGUGUCAUUAAAUUCUGUCAAAACAUACACUUGAGUGUGUUUUGGAUUGUGGGAGUGUCUGCUGGCUUUAUGAGCCAGCUCUCCUGAAAGACAUUAGCUUUGGGGGGGAGGUGCCAAGUCACUUCUGCCUUUCCAUUGGUGUGAUAGAUGAAUUAACUUAUCUACGCCAGGAAAGCAGGCUGCAGGUGAUGCACUGUGAUCUCUCUCUGCUCUCUAAUUGACAUUUUGUCUGAUAACUUGACCUCAAAUCAGGUAGGACUACCCGCUGAACUUAA
RNAcentral lists this unclassified non-coding RNA (320 nucleotides) under Amanita sp. Its description in RNAcentral is "partial contains 5.8S ribosomal RNA, internal transcribed spacer 2, and large subunit ribosomal RNA". The stretch from base 1 to 52 matches the Rfam family "5.8S ribosomal RNA", at positions 103 to 154 of the family's 154-position model. Lineage: Eukaryota; Fungi; Basidiomycota; Agaricomycetes; Agaricales; Amanitaceae. RNAcentral also lists the same sequence under 2 other names. The record is from RNAcentral.